CCUACGGGUGGCUGCAGUCGAGAAUCUUCGGCAAUGAGCGCAAGCUUGACCGAGCGACGCCGCGUGCGGGAUGAAGGCCUUCGGGUUGUAAACCGCUGUCGUAGGGGACGAAAUUCCAGUGGGUUCUCCCAUUGGAUUGACCGAUCCUAGGAGGAAGGGUGGGCUAAGUUCGUGCCAGCAGCCGCGGUAAGACGUACUACCCAAACGUUAUUCGGAUUUACUGGGCUUAAAGAGUCCGUAGGCGGCCAAGAAAGUUGGGCGUGAAAUACCUCGGCCCAACCGAGGAAUAGCGCUCAAAACUACUUGGCUAGAGAGAGACAGAGGUGAGCGGAACUGAUGGUGGAGCGGUGAAAUGCGUUGAUAUCAUCAGGAACACCGGUGGCGAAAGCGGCUCACUGGGUCUCUUCUGACGCUGAGGGACGAAAGCUAGGGGAGCGAACGGGAUUAGAUACCCGUGUAGUC
Molecule: ribosomal RNA, 462 nt
Filed under: uncultured bacterium
Lineage: Bacteria
Description: bacterial SSU rRNA
Rfam family: Bacterial small subunit ribosomal RNA
Source: RNAcentral